GGAGCAGGCCGUUCUAUCGCUCCUUUGCUUUCUGCAGACAGCAGAGGGGAGGAAAGUCCGGACAACAAAGGGCGCCAUACUUCCGCGAGGGAGAUAUCCGUAAGGGUAUAGUAACAGAGAAGAAAAUAACCGCCCCGUUUCGGCGGGGUAAGGGUGAGAAGACAGGGUAAGAACCUGUUAGUUGUGAUGGCGACAUCAUAGCUGUCUGUCUUGUGGGUUGCAAGGCUAUGUAUACCGGUGCUUGAAGGCCGCCCGCCUGAUGCCGGGGGGUAAGCCGCUGGGGGUGCCGGGAAACCGGCGCCGUAGAGAAAUGAUAGAACACGACAGAAUCCGGCUUACAGGCCUGCUUUUUUU
RNAcentral lists this RNase P RNA (354 nucleotides) under Bacteroidota bacterium. RNAcentral's name for it is "Bacteroidetes bacterium (sediment metagenome) RNase P RNA component class A". It matches the Rfam family "Bacterial RNase P class A". Rfam says of the family: Ribonuclease P (RNase P) is a ubiquitous endoribonuclease, found in archaea, bacteria and eukarya as well as chloroplasts and mitochondria. Its best characterised activity is the generation of mature 5'-ends of tRNAs by cleaving the 5'-leader elements of precursor-tRNAs. Lineage: Bacteria; Pseudomonadati; Bacteroidota. The record is from RNAcentral.